Molecule: small RNA, 1082 nt
Filed under: Pongo abelii (Sumatran orangutan)
Lineage: Eukaryota; Metazoa; Chordata; Mammalia; Primates; Hominidae
Description: retained intron
Source: RNAcentral
GAAGCAGAAACACGACGGGCGGGUGAAGAUCGGCCACUACAUCCUGGGUGACACGCUGGGGGUCGGCACCUUCGGCAAAGUGAAGGUUGGCAAACAUGAAUUGACUGGGCAUAAAGUAGCUGUGAAGAUACUCAAUCGACAGAAGAUUCGGAGCCUUGAUGUGGUAGGAAAAAUCCGCAGAGAAAUUCAGAACCUCAAGCUUUUCAGGCAUCCUCAUAUAAUUAAACUGUACCAGGUCAUCAGUACACCAUCUGAUAUUUUCAUGGUGAUGGAAUAUGUCUCAGGAGGAGAGCUAUUUGAUUAUAUCUGUAAGAAUGGAAGGCUGGAUGAGAAAGAAAGUCGGCGUCUGUUCCAACAGAUCCUUUCUGGUGUGGAUUAUUGUCACAGGCAUAUGGUGGUCCAUAGAGAUUUGAAACCUGAAAAUGUCCUGCUUGAUGCACACAUGAAUGCAAAGAUAGCUGAUUUUGGUCUUUCAAACAUGAUGUCAGAUGGUGAAUUUUUAAGAACAAGUUGUGGCUCACCCAACUAUGCUGCACCAGAAGUAAUUUCAGGAAGAUUGUAUGCAGGCCCAGAGGUAGAUAUAUGGAGCAGUGGGGUUAUUCUCUAUGCUUUAUUAUGUGGAACCCUUCCAUUUGAUGAUGACCAUGUGCCAACUCUUUUUAAGAAGAUAUGUGAUGGGAUCUUCUAUACCCCUCAAUAUUUAAAUCCUUCUGUGAUUAGCCUUUUGAAACAUAUGCUGCAGGUGGAUCCCAUGAAGAGGGCCACAAUCAAAGAUAUCAGGGAACAUGAAUGGUUUAAACAGGACCUUCCAAAGUAUCUCUUUCCUGAGGAUCCAUCAUAUAGUUCAACCAUGAUUGACGAUGAAGCCUUAAAAGAAGUAUGUGAAAAGUUUGAGUGCUCAGAAGAGGAAGUUCUCAGCUGUCUUUAUAACAGAAAUCACCAGGAUCCUUUGGCAGUUGCCUACCAUCUCAUAAUAGAUAAUAGGAGAAUAAUGAAUGAAGCCAAAGAUUUCUAUUUGGCGACAAGCCCACCUGAUUCUUUUCUUGAUGAUCAUCACCUGACUCGGCCCCAUCCUGAAAGAG